Molecule: small nucleolar RNA, 127 nt
Filed under: Procavia capensis (Cape rock hyrax)
Lineage: Eukaryota; Metazoa; Chordata; Mammalia; Hyracoidea; Procaviidae
Description: Small nucleolar RNA SNORA27 (ENSPCAG00000019016.1)
Rfam family: Small nucleolar RNA SNORA27
About the family: ACA27 is a member of the H/ACA class of snoRNA that guide the sites of modification of uridines to pseudouridines.
Source: RNAcentral
AACGCAAAAUUCCAUUGUCUGAUUCGACUUAUGUCUUAAUUGGUCAUUCAAGUACAGCAAAGGAAAUAUCUUUUUAAAAUUCGGGUAAACUUGGUGAUUGUCUUGGAUUCUGUCAAAGAAAAGAAAC